RNAcentral lists this ribosomal RNA (459 nucleotides) under uncultured bacterium. RNAcentral describes it as "partial 16S ribosomal RNA". It matches the Rfam family "Bacterial small subunit ribosomal RNA", at positions 338 to 795 of the family's 1533-position model. The record is from RNAcentral.
CCUACGGGAUGCAGCAGUGAGGAAUAUUGGUCAAUGGUCGGGAGACUGAACCAGCCAAGCCGCGUGAGGGAUGAAGGUAUAGAGUAUCGUAAACCUCUUUUGUCAGGGAACAAAGGCGGGGACGUGUCCCCGGAUGAGUGUACCUGAAGAAAAAGCAUCGGCUAACUCCGUGCCAGCAGCCGCGGUACUACGGAGGAUGCGAGCGUUAUCCGGAUUUAUGGGUUUUAAAGGGUGGGCGGGCGGUCUGUUAAGUCAGCGGACAAAGCCCGGGGCUCAACCCCGGCCCGCCGUUGAAACUGGCAGUCUCGAGUUGGAGAGAAGUAUGCGGAAUGCGCGGUGUAGCGGUGAAAUGCAUAGAUAUCGCGCAGAACUCCGAUUGCGAAGGCAGCAUGCCGGCUCCACACUGACGCUGAGGCACGAAAGCGUGGGUAUCGAACAGGAUUAGAUACCCUUGUAGUC